UGCAAUUGGCUUCACCCCUCUCUGACAGGUAUUCUCUUCUCGCUGCUUCUGCCCACAGCAACACUACUCCUGCUUCUCGCGCAUUCUUGUCAUGGAUCCGACGAUGAGCAUUUCUACCUCGACCUCCCAUCCAGAGAAGGUUUUGCAUGCCCCGAAGUAAACAGCUUUGUAAACGAAUUCGAUCCGUUCUACAGAUGGUCUCUGCGUUCUUCCCUUGCCAGUGUCCUCUCCACGACAAGUCGCAUCGACAUUGAGCUCGCCAAUUCCGCCUACCAGCAAGCUAGUGCAUGGAGAGUGAUCAGCAACUGGACGAGUGAUGAGGGAGCCAACAAGCUGUACGCCUCGGCCGAUCCUCACAUUGCAGGUGGUCACAUGAAGCAGCACCGGCGCAACUGGCAAUGGAGAAUGCGAGUGGACUGGGGCAUCAGCAUCCGCAUGUGCCUAUCCACUGGUAAUGACCACAGCAAUCGGUCAUGCCUCUGGACUACUCCCAUCCUUCAGAUGGAAAGAGAAGCGGAUCUCAGCCUGCUCUUUAUUGCUGUACCUUACAGGGCUGCAACUGCACCCAGCAUUGAACCAGAUCUGAACAACAUGCCGCGUAGCACAUCAGGAUUCUACCUUUCCAACUACGCCAGCAAUGCAAGGACGGACUUCACCAAGUACCAGAAGAUCAACACCUCCAGCCACUAUUAUCUCACGAACACUAAGGAUGUACCAAAGUGUCGGUUUGCCCCAUCUUACUACAGCAACGACGCCACAGCAUACCUCGGGUUUCCCAGCCUCCAAUGCGGCUGCUCCAAUUCCUCCACCAGGGUAUGUGUCGUGGUCACCAGGAACAUGGACACCAGCAGCUGGGGAUUGUUCGACUAUCGUUCCUCCUGCGAUUUGCUGACGUCUUACUGGGCUUGGAACACCGGUGGAAACACUUGGCUUGUUCUUACCGUACACAACACCUCAUCUGACAAGCCUCUACCAUUUCUUGCAACCUUUAAGGGGAAUACCUCUUUCGGGUCCUCCCUCACUUGGGUUACAGCGAAUGACUUCCAGGCCAUGGCGAACACAACAGUCUGUGUGGAAGCAUUGAUGCAGCAAACACCGGUGCCAUCCAGUGUGGAGGUUCAGAACAGGUGCAGUACUGAUCAGCUGGUAUUAAGCACUCAAGAUGGUGAGUACUACCUCAACAAGAUGAGACGGUUCCUCUGGGCUCCCACUCCCCCCCAGAACAAGAUCAGUACACCCUGUUUCGGAGAUCUGCCUAUGGGACAGCUCGAGUUCAAGGACAAGCUAUGUGUGACAAAGCUGGACACUACUACCAGCACAGAGAUUAAACUGAUGGUCGAAUCCAUGUUACAGCUCAGAGACGUUAAGUUCAAGCAGAAGAAGCUGUGGAAUGAUGGAUCAAACAACAGACACGAAGUCUAUGGCGGGAUUUUGUCAGCGAUUGUGUCCUUCGUGGGAACAUGUUUCUUGGCAACGAGUAACAAGUUGCAGGAUAUUGAAGAGUCCUUUGAGAAAUUCUGGCAUCAUGGUGGCGCCGUUGGGGACUCCAACACCGACGGCCAGGCUGCUCAGUCAAGCAAGGGAUCAGUUUUUUCAAGCCAGGACCCCAUCUUUUGGUUUAAGUUCCUUUAUAGGACGCUCCUCGUACUCGCUUUUGCAGGUAAUUUGACCUCUUCUUGCCACAAGUUGAUUCACUAAGUUCAUAUUUUGUGCAGUUUUACUGUCAUAUACAGCAUAUAGUAGCGUGCAAAGUGUAAAGAAGGACCGGGACAUCUUGCAAGCGCAAACAGUACCUCAGGUCCUCAGUGAUGGUACCGUGGUGUUGCUCACCACCACAGCUACGUACGAGGUGAAACCCUUGUGGGCCAGCUUCUAUGUUAUUUCUGUUCUUACGGCGCUGGCUGUGAUAAUCACACUGGUCGUUACAUGGCGUCAACUUAAAACACUGCCGGCGAAAGAGAGCAGUGAAAUGGAAUGAUUCACUAAUCAUAACCGUCUUUGAAGAUUUUGGUGUCACUAAGUUCUGCCGGCUAAUUGCCCCAAGAUAAAGGAGAAAGCGAUCAAGCCUACUAUGACCAGACGGUCAAUGGAUGUCAACACUGUUCUGGUCUUACGGUGCUGGUUGUGAUAAUUACAGUGGUCAUUGGAGGUAAAAAAGAUCAGAAUAUUACCGUCUUUGCAUCACUAAGGGCUAACUAAAGUUGACCAGUGCAAUAAAGGUCUGACCAGUCAGCAGGGUGGCAAUGGCGGUCAACGGUCAAGGAACGUCAAUCAUCUUUUGAAGAAUACUGUCCAGCUUACCAGAAGCAAACCGGCGCCCUUGAUAAACACAAGCCGAAUCAUCGUCUUCCAUCUCCAGUCCUCCCAAAACCUUGGCAACCCCGCGAUCAAUCGGCAACCCCGCGGCAGCAAACACAUUGGACAGCACCACGUACGUGGCCGAGUCUUCUGGGAAGAGCGCCAUGGCGGCCUCGCCCACCCUCUCGGCGCACUCCACGUCCCUGUACACCGCACACGCCCCCAGCACGGACUUGCACGCCACCAGGUCGGGCUCGAACGGCAUCCCGCGCAGCAGCUCCUCGGCCCCGGCCACCUCACCGGACCGCCCCAGCGUGUCGAGCAUCACUCCAAAGUGCUCGCAGCUCGGCCAGAUCCCAAAGUCCGCCACCAUCAUCUGGAACUUCUCCACGCCCCGCCUCACCGAUCCGGUGUGCGUCGCCGCCACCAAGAUCCCCGUGAAGGUGAUGUCGUCCGGGGUGACGCCCUCCAAGUUGAGCUCCCGGAAGAACUCCUCGGCCUCGGGGCCGUGGCCGUUCGCGGCAUACAUGACGAUGAGCGCGUUCCAGGAGACGAUGUCGGUCUUCUCCGGGGUGGCGUCGAAGAUAGCCUUCGCCUUUGCGAGAUGCCCGUGCUGUGCGUACGCGACGAACAUCGCGUUCCAAGAGAUGAGGCUCCGCUCGGGCAUCGAGAAGAACAUCGCCUCCGCCUCGGCGAGCUGGAAGUUCUGCGAGUAGGCCACCAUCAUGGUCGUCCAGGAGAUCACGUUACACCAGGGCAUUCGAUCCAGCGCUGCCUUAGCGCGAUCCAGCCGCCGGCUCUGUGUGUAGGCGUGGAUCAUCGCGUUCCAGGAGACGAGGUUCUUCUCUGGGAUCCGAUCAAACUCGAGCUUCGCCUGGUCGAUCUCGCCGUGCGCGACGUAGCUCCGGCACAGGAUGUUCCACGCCACUACAUCCUUCACGGGCAUCGAUUCGAAGCACCGCCGAGCAUCUUCCAGAUGCCCGUUCUGGGCAAAUGCCGUCGCCAUGGCCGUCCACGAGACAACGUCGCGGUGCGCCACCUUCUGAAAGAUCUCUUUCGCCUUGUCGAUCAUCAGGGCCACUCCAUAAGCAGUGAUAAGGGCAUUCCACGAAACGAUAUUCCUGGUUCCCAUUCGAUCAAACAGAUCCUUUCCUUCCACAAGACGCCCGUUCUGGGCAUACCCCUGGAUCAUCGCGGUCCACGAGACGAGAUCUCUCUCCGGCAUCGUAUCAAACAAUUCCUUGGCGUGAAAGAGAUCUCCACUCUCGGCAGUGGUCGCGACCAUGGAAUUCCACGACAAUCGGCUCCUCGCGGGCAUUCUCUCGAAGAACGUGUUCGCAAUAUCCAAAUGCCCCUUUUGGGCAAGUGUUGUCACCAUUGUGUUCCAGGACGCAAGAUCCCGCUGCUCCAUCGCCAGGAACAUCGCCCUGGAGCGAUCGAGGUACCCAUUCCUGGCAUAUAUCGCGACCAUCGCGUUAGAGAGCACCACAUCCCCGUCGACGAUGGAUUCGAACAGGGAUUUGGCCCUCUCCAGAUCGCCAUUGCGCGCGUAGGCGACGAUCAUCGUCGUCCAGUGGACGGCGCUGCGCUGCGGGGUCCUGGUGAAGAGGAGCUCCACCUCGUCGAUCCGGCCGCUGGCGGCGGACGCCGCGAUGGCGAUGCCCCAGGAGAACUCGUUCUUGUGCUGGAUCGCGUGGAAUGCCCGGCGCGAUUCCUCGGCGAGCCCGAGGCGGCCAUACAUCUGGACCACCGCAUUGGCCACGAAUCGAUCGGCGCCAUAGCCACUGGCGAUGAUCUGUGCGUGGAUCUUCCUGCCCACCGCGGCGUCGCCGGAAUCCCCAGCCGCGCGGAGCGAUUGGACGAAACGCUGGCAUUCCACAAAUUUGCCCUUGUCAAUGCAGGGCAUUUGCUAGGAAUAUAUUUCAAGCAUCAUCAUCUUUUCAGUUUCCUCUCUUCUGCUAAUGUUUCUUUUCAGCUUGCAAAGAUCUGAUGCUGGAAUAUCAACAAGAAUAACCUUUUUGCCAGUUUUCUUUUCCAGUUUUUUUCACGGGAUGUUCCAGUUCGUAACAAGCCAGCAAAGUCUUUGUCACGUCUAAGCUUUUGGGUCCGUAGCCUACGCCAAGACAACUUCUGGCAACCCGAAGAUGAUCACGCAAACUCACAUUGCAGUCUCUCUCCGGGUGGAAUACAGCGAAUGCAUCAAAGAAAAGCAGAAGCUGUGGCUUCUACCUUGGAUCCUAAACUGCCAAAGCAUGGGAAGGAAUCCUUUCUGCAAAGAUGCAGUGCUUGUCCUGCGUAGCAGCUCCGAUCCACUCGCGUGAACAAUCGCGCUUCCACCCUUAUACACUUCACACGGAUUUACAAACACCACCACCUCAAACCACAUAGAGUUCAGUAAUCUCUUCUUACUACUAUGUCCUUCUGGGUCGAUAUCCGCAAGACGCUGCCAUCUUUUUCUCCGGAGUCCUGACAGAUGUGGAGGAGACGCUAUUACCCAGCCAACGAGCUGAUGAACUCUGCCAAGUUAUGCCCUGAGCUGCCCGGCUGGGUGGAGAGUGCAGCCUGUCGGACCAGCUUCCUCCUUUGCUUGGCACGGUUCCUGAGCUCUUGGUCCUCCAUUACAGCACGCAAGCCUCGCUCGACGUCAUCUGCGGACGGCACACCAUCCACCCCAAUAUCCACCGCAAUUUUGUACUCGUCCACAAGGUGCCUGCAGGUUGGGAGCUGGUCACCUAAGAACGGCCAGGCCAGAAUGGGAACACCAGCCAGCAGAAUACACUCCACCACGGAACUCCACCCGCAGUGUGAAACUAAUGCACCAAUGGCCGGAUGAGAGAGAACCAGCUGCUGAGGCACCCAACCUGUAAGGAUUUUCCCCCUACCGGAGGUUCGCUCCGCAAAGUUUGGAGGUAGCACGCGGUUCAGGUAGGCGGUCGGCUCCUCGUUCCUGGGACUUGGAAGCGACCAGAGGAAUCUAAAGCCGGACGAUUCGAGUCCGUGUGCCAGCUCUCGAAUCAUCUCGUCGCCCAAGACUAUAAAGCUGCCGAAGCAUAUGAGGACCAGCGACGCCGUGGGUUGCUUGUCCAGCCAUGAGACAAGCGCCGUGGAAUCCUCGCUGUUCUUGCCGAUUGAGACCGCUGUUCCUCGAAUGUCUUCUUGAGAGGGUCGAUCAUCCUGGAGGUAGGAAGAUGGAUACAGAGGUCCUAUGGGAAUGCACCGUAUCUCGGGGUACUCGCAAUGUAAAGCAUCCAAUAUCUGCACGGACACGUGAGAAAUCACCCUCCACUAAAUGCCCGUCUUACUGGUCCUUCAAGCUCUUCGGAAGUAUUCAGUAGUAUCCCGUUGGAGUGGACAAAAUGCUUGGCUACGCCUUCUUUACCCAAGUAGAAUCUGUGAACAAAGAUCACGGAAACAAACAGAAACAUAGAAAGAAUGAUACCCAUGGGAUUUGACGACAACGUCCAAAGGUAGCUCAGCCCAUCGAAGAGGUGGAAGUCCGGGAACAUGAACUACGCUCUGCAUGUCUUGGUCCACAUUCCCGCUUCGGCUGGGGCCGUGGAAGGAGAGCAUGACAGCGAGAUGCGCCGAAGCACCUGUGUAGAGGAUAUACUUUGGGAUGCCUCUCUCCUCAACAGUUUGACUUGCCCAGAACAUCACCAUUCGAUCGAGAACCACCGCUUUGGGGCGCAGCACAUCGAGGUGUUUCCGGAGCGAGUCAGGCAGGGCAGUGGGAAAACGGGAUGAUGGCAAAAGGUCGGGACGAGACUUGCGAACUCCAGGGAAAAUGAAAGCCGGUCGAGGGGAAGGAAUGGACUCCAUGAGAGCGCGCAUGUCAAUGUUUGCUAUGUCCGUGGUCAUUCCAGAUGGGUUCAGCCACGGCAGUAGCACCGUAACACGGCAGCCCUGAGAAGCGAGCUUCUUUGCAAAGAGCAUACCUGUGUUGAAGUGACCACCGCCUUGAACCGUAACCAAAACGAUGUCGGCCAUUCUCGACCUUGUCGGCCUUAUCUUAACCAAGCGCUCUUGUUCUAUUGCAACUCCAGACUCCUGUAAGACUCAUUUUGAUGAACUUGACUUGUUGUUAACCAAGGGUUUCGUCUAGCACUAUUUUCAUGCUUUGUUUUUUUUUCCACGUGGCCAGUUCAGCGGUCGAACGAAUAUGCCAACACAAUGAACAGUUAGAUCUCUGAUUCGCAGGCUAGAGAGAUUCGAGCGCGGCCGCUCUAGCGGCUGGCGUGAUAGUGUUUUAUUUCGGCCGCCAAAAAGCCAUUUGGAAUGGCUUUUUGGCAAAGAAAAAGCCAUUUCAAAUGGCUUUUGUCGACUCGAAGCAGGGAAGAACGCUGUCACCAAAGUAAAACCUCUCCUGCUUUGCAAGUCCGGGUGAGCCAAAAGAUCGAAAAGAAAAGAGAAACAAGCAAACCUGGAGAGCGUGGAUGUCAAGACUCGUCGGACCACCCCUGGAGAUUGGAAUGUUGGAGAGUGAAGGCCGAUGUCACCCUCGUCUUCCAUGCGCUCCAACGUUCCAGUCGGGAAGAACGGCACCACGACCGUGAAGGAAGCGAUGAACAUCCUGGGAAGAGCGUAGAUCACCAAGAGCUCUCAAAGAUCACGGCGGGAGAGCUGAACGGCGCAAGGAAUGCAACGUGCUGGCCACGGAUCCCAGCACGAACAAGUUUGGAAAUCCAUCCUCGAAUGCGGUGAAAGAAAAAAGAGAUCGAUUGCUCAAACCCACUCACAUCCAUUUGAGCUCGAUGGAAACUGUCUCGGCAGCGACCCCUCCGUGCCACAUCCUCGUACUCGUUGCAAUAUGUCGAGGAGAUUAGUUCGAGAUUAGUUCCAGCACGGAGGCAGCCGCGCAGAGACUUUUCGAUUGUAUGCCCGAAAAAACUAUAGUCUCGUGGAACGCGAUGGUCUCUGCGUAUGCCGCGCAGGGAGACACUAGCAUUGCGAAGCUUUUGUUUGGCAAGAUGCCCCAAUGGGACGUGGCUUCUUUCAACGCAAUGUUGACUGUUUGAACAAGAGGACUACGUUUUGGAAUUGCGAAGAUUUUUCAACGCUCUUCCGGAAGCCAAUUUUGUCUCUUGGACUAUCGUCUUAACAGCAUAUGCCCGCAUUGGGCAUCUUUGUGAGUGUAAGUUCCUCUUCGAUGCGAUGCCACAGAGAGAUAUAGUGGCAUAUAACGUAAUGCUCUCGGCAUUUUCCCAGCACAGUACUGGGAAAGAUUCCAAAGCCUUAUUUGAUACCAUGCCACAGUGGGAUAUGCUUUCCUGGACAUCACUUUUAAACGCAUAUAUCCAAGAAGGGCAUAUUGAUCGAGCCAAACGUACAUACGACACAAUGCCAAUGCAGGAUACAGUAUCAUGUACUGUUAUGCUCACGUUUCUCUCUACGUAUGGUGCCAUAGUCGAUGCUAGGGUGGCCUAUGAAUCUUUGCCAUGCAAGGAUUUAGUUUCACAAAACGCAAUGCUAUCGGCGUAUGCCUCAAAAGGGUACCUUGAAAAAGCUCGAUUUUUGUUUGACUCCAUGCCACAAGACCUUGUUUCUUGUACUAACAUGCUCAUUUCGUAUGCCCAAGUCGGUCAUCUUAACGACGCAAAACUUGUUUUCAUUUCCAUGCCGGAGCAUGACGUAGUAUCUCGGACCGUCAUGCUCAUCGCAUAUGCCGUGAAUGGGCAUGUUUUAGAAGCCAAGAAAGUGUUCGAUUUGAUGCUAGAGAGAGAUCUCACCGUGUGGAGCGUUAUGCUGGCUGCGUAUGCCUACACCGGCCACUCCUUUGAAGCCCGCCACCUUUUCCAAACCAUAAAUUUCAUUGAAGCAGCUGGUGAAUCCUGCUUUGCCCCCAUUUUGAUUUCCCUGGGACAUGUUGGUGGACUCGACGCCGUGCUUCGUGUCGUUGCAAGGGGACUUCGCGUUAAAGCCUACCAAGCAACACUACGCGUGCAUGGUAGACCUCAUUGCCAAGGCAGGGCAUCUGGAAGUUGCCGAGCUUCUCUUGGAAACCAUGCCGUUUGUACCUGAUGCUGUAGAUUGGAUGUCCCUGACAAAAGGGAAUAGACGGCCUGGCAAAAGCGCGAAAGACAAAAACAACCAAAUGAGCCGCGACUACGAUCUGCAAGCUGAGAACGCGGCCAUGAAUGAGAAUGGUGGUGACGCCGAAUGGGAAUAGAUCAACUUUAAAUGCACCAGACAGGGAGCAGCCUCUCGCCGCGGCUUUCGUCCAGGAAAACUUGAUCACCCGCCAUCGCUCAAGGUAAUUAUGAUUCCCGAUAUCCGCAAUUAGCGCUAAUCAAUCUCUUGGCCUGUCUGUCUCGUUCGUGCCGCGGCAGCACAGCAGCACAACAGCACAGCAGGCUUUUGUGCUCUUGUUCGGUUCGGUUUUUAAUAACGCAGAGAAGAGAAGAGCCAUGAACUUGCAGAUACUGCGGGGUUUAUAGCCUUUCUUUGAAAGCUUCACAUUCGAUCCAGGUUCUUUAGUUUUUCUUUGAACUUAUUCGCCAGCACCCACUCAUUCGCUCUUUCAGAUUUAAUGCAGCGGACCUGUGCGUCAUCGAGCAAAAGCUAUACGAGCUUUUCCAUCGCUGGAAAGCUUUUAGCUGCACUUCCCGAAAGAUUCACUCUUUCCUUGUUUCGCUGUAUACCACGCCAGGCGUCGCUCUACCUCGUGGCUACGAGUGCGUCCGUUCAAUCUGGCAAGAGCAUUGCUUUUCCUCUUUGGCCGACCCACGUUGAUAAGGCUGCAAACGCUCUGUCCAGUUUUUCGGUGGGCGUAAAGGAAUCUUCUGGGUCAAAGUAAUAUGGUUGACCAGAUUAUGGAUGGUCAACGCCAUAUGCUCGCUAGUUAUAUAAUUAAUUGUACCGUACAAAUUGUAUGUCUGGUUUUGAUUGAUUUGAUUUCCAAACUCGCAUUGUCUUCUCUUUCAUCCAGAUGCUGUUACUGAUUCGCAUCAUGCAGUUCAAGCAUGCGUUCUAGUAAGUUAUUGCGAACAGAUAAAAACUUAUCUCUAAUAAAUUUUCACUAAUGUUGGAAGCUGCAAAAAAGAUUCGCUGGGUUUUAGCUGUAGGCAUGCGUUCAGCAAACCUGUUGUGCGUGCUCAGAUCUUUAGAUCGUGUUAAAGUUCGCGGAAAAAUAGUUGCCUCAUACAUUGACUAAUUGUUACCAAGGCGGCAUCUUUUUCAUCCUCGGUCCAAAUCUCGUGCAUUAUACUCAAGGUCUUACCCAGCCUCAGCUAGCGUUGGUUGACAAAGAAGAUUAAUAAUGAUAACCGAAACUUGUCAACUCGUGUAUGCAUAUAAUUUGUCACUUCGUGCGUCCAAUGUUCUUAAUAUAAGUAAUGCUUGCAUACAGGUUAACAUCACCAGCCAUUGACAAAUUCUCCUGAAUAUCAGAGGAGACUUUGGGAAGAAUUCUUUUCUUUCUAUGAUGCCAUGUGAACAUUCAUAAAGAAAGAGGUUUAUGGAAGAUCCGUGCUCUUAAGCUCGUUUGUAGACAAGGAAGCAUUGGAUCUUUAAAGGAAUAGGAAGCAUCCACAACACUUUCGCCUUCAACUUGUAGUAUGAAAACAAAAAAGCACGUAAAACGAAUGUCCUCAUAUCCUUAUAUAUGGCUGCAGUUGUGAAUCAUAGGAUUAUAAGCUAUAAUGGCUCAGGCAGAGAAUGUAGGCAGUAGUAGCUUCUGCAAUUGGCUUCACCCCUCUCUGACAAGUAUUCUCUUCUCGCUGCUUCUGCCCACAGCAACACUACUCCUGCUUCUCGCGCAUUCUUGUCAUGGAUCCGACGAUGAGCAUUUCUACCUCGACCUCCCGUCCAGAGAAGGUUUUGCAUGCCCCGAAGUAAACAGCUUUGUAAACGAAUUCGAUCCGUUCUACAGAUGGUCUCUGCGUUCUUCCCUUGCCAGUGUCCUGUCCACGACA
This 10208-nucleotide long non-coding RNA is filed under the name Selaginella moellendorffii. Its description in RNAcentral is "long non-coding RNA (SMOE_LNC000495)". Lineage: Eukaryota; Viridiplantae; Streptophyta; Lycopodiopsida; Selaginellales; Selaginellaceae. The record is from RNAcentral.